GACGGGGGGGGCAAGUGUUCUUCGGAAUGACUGGGCGUAAAGGGCGCGUAGGCGGUUCAUACAGUCAGAUGUGAAAUUCCCGGGCUUAACCUGGGGGCUGCAUUUGAUACGUGUGGGCUUGAGUGAGGAAGAGGGUUGUGGAAUUCCCAGUGUAGAGGUGAAAUUCGUAGAUAUUGGGAAGAACACCGGUGGCGAAGGCGGCAACCUGGUCCUUUACUGACGCUGAGGCGCGAAAGCGUGGGGAGCAAACAGG
Molecule: ribosomal RNA, 253 nt
Filed under: uncultured bacterium
Lineage: Bacteria
Description: partial 16S ribosomal RNA
Rfam family: Bacterial small subunit ribosomal RNA
Source: RNAcentral